CGUAACAAGGUCUCCGUAGGUGAACCUGCGGAGGGAUCAUUACACAAAUAUGAAGGCGGGCUGGAACCUCUCGGGGUUACAGCCUUGCUGAAUUAUUCACCCUUGUCUUUUGCGUACUUCUUGUUUCCUUGGUGGGUUCGCCCACCACUAGGACAAACAUAAACCUUUUGUAAUUGCAAUCAGCGUCAGUAACAAAUUAAUAAUUACAACUUUCAACAACGGAUCUCUUGGUUCUGGCAUCGAUGAAGAACGCAGCGAAAUGCGAUAAGUAGUGUGAAUUGCAGAAUUCAGUGAAUCAUCGAAUCUUUGAACGCACAUUGCGCCCUUUGGUAUUCCAAAGGGCAUGCCUGUUCGAGCGUCAUUUGUACCCUCAAGCUUUGCUUGGUGUUGGGCGUCUUGUCUCUAGCUUUGCUGGAGACUCGCCUUAAAGUAAUUGGCAGCCGGCCUACUGGUUUCGGAGCGCAGCACAAGUCGCACUCUCUAUCAGCAAAGGUCUAGCAUCCAUUAAGCCUUUUUUACAACUUUUGACCUCGGAUCAGGUAGGGAUACCCGCUGAACUUA
RNAcentral lists this ribosomal RNA (561 nucleotides) under uncultured fungus. RNAcentral describes it as "eukaryotic LSU rRNA". The stretch from base 208 to 361 matches the Rfam family "5.8S ribosomal RNA". Lineage: Eukaryota; Fungi. The record is from RNAcentral.